This is a long non-coding RNA of Myotis daubentonii (Daubenton's bat), 525 nucleotides long. RefSeq lists it as uncharacterized. NCBI's taxonomy places the organism in Eukaryota, Metazoa, Chordata, Mammalia, Chiroptera, Vespertilionidae. The record is from RefSeq and is a predicted model, not a curated record.
GCCUAAGUUAGGGAGGCAGACGAGACCAUUGCAGGCUUAGCCUAGCUUAGCCUAGGCUAGAGUAGCUGAGGGACCUUGGAGGACCUAGCUUAGCUUAGCUCAGCUUAGAGUAGCCUAGGUUUCGGAGGCAGACGAGACCAUUGCACAGCUAGGAUAGGGAGGUAGACGAAACUUUUGUGACUUAGCUUAGCUUUGCUUAGGCUAGAGUAGGUCCCUCAGCUACUCUAUCCCAAGCUAAGCUACGCUAGGUCCGCAAUGGUCUCUUCUGCCUCCCUAACCUGGCUACUCUAUGCUAAGCUAAGCUAAGCUAAGCUACGCUAAGUCCUCUAAGGUCUGUCUGCUACUCUAGCCUAAGCUAAUCUUAGCUACGCUAUGUUCUCUAAGGUCGCUCAGCUACUAUAGCCUAAUCUAAGCUACCUAAGUUUGCAAUGGUCUCGUCUGCCUCCCUAACCUAGGCUACUCUAGGCUAAGCUAAGCUAAGCAAAGCAAGGUCCUCUAAGUUUCCUCAGCUACUCCAGCCUAAGC